AUUGAACGCUGGCGGCAUGCUUUACACAUGCAAGUCGAACGGUAACAGGCCGCAAGGUGCUGACGAGUGGCGAACGGGUGAGUAAUGCAUCGGAACGUGCCCAGUCGUGGGGGAUAACUACUCGAAAGAGUAGCUAAUACCGCAUACGAUCUAUGGAUGAAAGCGGGGGACCGUAAGGCCUCGCGCGAUUGGAGCGGCCGAUGUCAGAUUAGGUAGUUGGUGGGGUAAAGGCUCACCAAGCCAACGAUCUGUAGCUGGUCUGAGAGGACGACCAGCCACACUGGGACUGAGACACGGCCCAGACUCCUACGGGAGGCAGCAGUGGAGAAUUUUGGACAAUGGGCGCAAGCCUGAUCCAGCAAUGCCACGUGCAGGAAGAAGGCCUUCGGGUUGUAAACUGCUUUUGUACGGAACGAAACGGCUCUGGUUAAUACCCGGGGCUAAUGACGGUACCGUAAGAAUAAGCACCGGCUAACUACGUG
Molecule: ribosomal RNA, 482 nt
Filed under: uncultured bacterium
Lineage: Bacteria
Description: partial 16S ribosomal RNA
Rfam family: Bacterial small subunit ribosomal RNA
Source: RNAcentral